This 497-nucleotide ribosomal RNA is filed under the name uncultured bacterium. Its description in RNAcentral is "partial 16S ribosomal RNA". It matches the Rfam family "Bacterial small subunit ribosomal RNA", at positions 28 to 507 of the family's 1533-position model. The record is from RNAcentral.
GAUGAACGCUGGCGGCGUGCCUAAUACAUGCAAGUCGAGCGAACAGACGAGGAGCUUGCUCCUCUGACGUUAGCGGCGGACGGGUGAGUAACACGUGGAUAACCUACCUAUAGGACUGGGAUAACUUCGGGAAACCGGAGCUAAUACCGGAUAAUAUAUUGAACCGCAUGGUUCAAUAGCGAAAGACGGUUUUGCUGUCACUUAUAGAUGGAUCCGCGCCGCAUUAGCUAGUUGGUAAGGUAACGGCUUACCAAGGCAACGAUGCGUAGCCGACCUGAGAGGGUGAUCGGCCACACUGGAACUGAGACACGGUCCAGACUCCUACGGGAGGCAGCAGUAGGGAAUCUUCCGCAAUGGGCGAAAGCCUGACGGAGCAACGCCGCGUGAGUGAUGAAGGUCUUCGGAUCGUAAAACUCUGUUAUUAGGGAAGAACAAAUGUGUAAGUAACUAUGCACGUCUUGACGGUACCUAAUCAGAAAGCCACGGCUAACUACGUG